CCUACGGGUGGCAGCAGUGGGGAAUAUUGGGCAAUGGGCGCAAGCCUGACGCAGCAACGCCGCGUGUAGGAAGAAGGCUUUCGGGUUGUAAACUACUUUUGACAGGGAAGAGUAGAAGACGGUACCUGUCGAAUAAGCCACGGCUAACUACGUGCCAGCAGCCGCGGUAAUACGGAGGUUGCAAGCGUUGUCCGGAUUUACUGGGUGUAAAGGGCGUGUAGCCGGGUUGACAAGUCAGAUGUGAAAUCCUGCGGCUUAACCGCAGAAUUGCAUCUGACACUGUUGAUCUUGAGUAUUGGAGAGGCAGACGGAAUUCCUAGUGUAGCGGUGAAAUGCGUAGAGAUGAGGAGGAAUACCAGUGGCGAAGGCGGUCUGCUGGACAGCAACUGACGGUCAGGUGCGAAAGCGUGGGGAGCAAACAGGAUUAGAUACCCUAGUAGUC
This 442-nucleotide ribosomal RNA is filed under the name uncultured bacterium. RNAcentral describes it as "partial 16S ribosomal RNA". It matches the Rfam family "Bacterial small subunit ribosomal RNA", at positions 338 to 795 of the family's 1533-position model. The record is from RNAcentral.